CAGUGGAUGAUGUCAUCGGUCGGUAUUGCAACCCCGCUAUAUUGGGAAAAGGGAAACGUGUGUUUUCUUCAUCGUUUUAUCGCCUGGAAGUACCCCAUAGGUGAAUAGAGGCUGCUGCAGCCAAUGGAAACUGGAUACUUCAAGGAGCUAGUCACAUCCAAGAGGAAUCUGGGGGAGCAGAGCGUAGGCAGAAAGGAGAAGUGCAACAUCCAACCAGACCACUCACUUUGAGGGGGACGCUCUCAGGUUACAAAAAAAGCUCAACAUGGAUCAGCUGAAAGUGCACAGGCAGACGUCCGCUCUCUUGCGGACAGCGAGUAAGCACUCUGAGGCGGGCAGGCCAGUGGGAAGCACCGGUCUCUGGCUGGUUCUCUUUUCUUCCCUUUGCUUCCCAGGCUCCCGCCCCGCAACUUCCACGCGACACUUCUUCAUAAAAGUGACACUAAAUACUCAAAGUACUCGUCAAAUAAAGUUUCCAUAACUGGUUUGUUAUUUCAGGGAGUGAUAAUAUAUUUCCAAUUCUCUAUUUUCCAUGUGUAAGAUGGGUUUUUUAUAUAUAUAUUUUUUUAUGUUGUUAUUUGACACUACAAACACACAGCUUUU
Phyllopteryx taeniolatus (common seadragon) is the source of this 603-nucleotide long non-coding RNA. RefSeq lists it as uncharacterized. The transcript has 3 exons. The record is from RefSeq and is a predicted model, not a curated record. NCBI's taxonomy places the organism in Eukaryota, Metazoa, Chordata, Actinopteri, Syngnathiformes, Syngnathidae.